AGGACGAACGCUGGCGGCGUGCUUAACACAUGCAAGUCGAGCGGUAAGGCUCCUUCGGGGGUACACGAGCGGCGAACGGGUGAGUAACACGUGAGUAAUCUGCCCUUCACUUCGGGAUAACCACCGGAAACGGUGGCUAAUACCGAAUACGACCAGCCUUCGCAUGAGGUGCUGGUGGAAAGUCUUUUCGGUGAAGGAUGUGCUCGCGGCCUAUCAGCUUGUUGGUGGGGUAAUGGCCUACCAAGGCUUCGACGGGUAGCCGGCCUGAGAGGGUGACCGGCCACACUGGGACUGAGACACGGCCCAGACUCCUACGGGAGGCAGCAGUGGGGAAUAUGGACAAUGGGCGAAAGCCUGAUCCAGCAACGCCGCGUGAGGGAUGACGGCCUUCGGGUUGUAAACCUCUUCAGUAUCGACGAAGCGCCCUGUCGGUGGUGACGGUAGAUACAGAAGAAGGACCGGACCAACUACGUGCCAGCAGCCGC
RNAcentral lists this ribosomal RNA (485 nucleotides) under uncultured soil bacterium. Its description in RNAcentral is "bacterial SSU rRNA". It matches the Rfam family "Bacterial small subunit ribosomal RNA", at positions 26 to 518 of the family's 1533-position model. The record is from RNAcentral.